RNAcentral lists this ribosomal RNA (253 nucleotides) under uncultured bacterium. RNAcentral describes it as "partial 16S ribosomal RNA". It matches the Rfam family "Bacterial small subunit ribosomal RNA", at positions 524 to 776 of the family's 1533-position model. The record is from RNAcentral.
UACGUAGGGUGCAAGCGUUAAUCGGAAUUACUGGGCGUAAAGCGUGCGCAGGCGGUUUUGUAAGUCUGAUGUGAAAUCCCCGGGCUCAACCUGGGAAUUGCAUUGGAGACUGCAAGGCUGGAAUCUGGCAGAGGGGGGUAGAAUUCCACGUGUAGCAGUGAAAUGCGUAGAGAUGUGGAGGAACACCGAUGGCGAAGGCAGCCCCCUGGGUCAAGAUUGACGCUCAUGCACGAAAGCGUGGGGAGCAAACAGG